RNAcentral lists this ribosomal RNA (483 nucleotides) under uncultured organism. RNAcentral's name for it is "SSU rRNA". It matches the Rfam family "Bacterial small subunit ribosomal RNA", at positions 31 to 509 of the family's 1533-position model. The record is from RNAcentral.
GAACGCUGGCGGCGUGCCUAACACAUGCAAGUCGAACGAAGCAUGAUUGAAGGAGACUUCGGUCAAUGGAUAUCAUGACUUAGUGGCGGACGGGUGAGUAAUACAUGAGCAACCUGCCUUUCAGAGGGGGACAACAGCUGGAAACGGCUGCUAAUACCGCAUAAUGUGCGAGAGGGGCAUCCCUUUUGUACCAAAGGAGCAAUCCGCUGAAAGAUGGGCUCAUGUCUGAUUAGUUAGUUGGCAGGGCAACGGCCUACCAAGACUGCGAUCAGUAGCCGGACUGAGAGGUUGAACGGCCACAUUGGGACUGAGAUACGGCCCAGACUCCUACGGGAGGCAGCAGUGGGGAAUAUUGGGCAAUGGGCGAAAGCCUGACCCAGCAACGCCGCGUGAAGGAAGAAGGUCUUCGGAUUGUAAACUUCUUUUAUGAGGGACGAAGGACGUGACGGUACCUCAUGAAUAAGCCACGGCUAACUACGUGCC